Unclassified non-coding RNA from Pongo abelii (Sumatran orangutan), 148 nucleotides. It matches the Rfam family "Metazoan signal recognition particle RNA". Rfam says of the family: The signal recognition particle (SRP) is a universally conserved ribonucleoprotein. It is involved in the co-translational targeting of proteins to membranes. Lineage: Eukaryota; Metazoa; Chordata; Mammalia; Primates; Hominidae. The record is from Ensembl.
UCCAGGCAUGGUGGCGCAUGCCUGUGGUCCCAGCUACUUGGGAGGCUGAGGUGGGAGGAUUACUUGAGUCCAGGAGUUUCAGGCUGCAGUGAGCUAUGAUCACACCACUGUACUCCAGCCUGAGCAACAGAAUGAGACCCCAUCUCUU